This 253-nucleotide ribosomal RNA is filed under the name uncultured bacterium. RNAcentral describes it as "partial 16S ribosomal RNA". It matches the Rfam family "Bacterial small subunit ribosomal RNA", at positions 524 to 776 of the family's 1533-position model. The record is from RNAcentral.
UACGAAGGGUGCAAGCGUUACUCGGAAUUACUGGGCGUAAAGCGUGCGUAGGUGGUGAGUUAAGUCUGUCGUGAAAGCCCCGGGCUCAACCUGGGAAUGGCGAUGGAUACUGGCUCGCUAGAGUGCGGUAGAGGAGAGUGGAAUUCCCGGUGUAGCAGUGAAAUGCGUAGAGAUCGGGAGGAACAUCAGUUGCGAAGGCGGCUCUCUGGACCAGCACUGACAUUGAGGCACGAAAGCGUGGGGAGCAAACAGG